UGUUUCCAUCUGUUCCCUUUGGAAAUCCAGCAGCCAAUGUAACAGAAGUAGGACUUGUUGCAAUAUCAAUGGGUUGCCCAAAGCUUCACUCAUUACUCUACUUCUGCCACCAGAUGACAAAUGCUGCACUCAUUACAGUGGCAAAGAACUGCCCCAAUUUUAUCCGGUUCAGGUUGUGCAUCCUUGAUGCAACAAAACCUGACCCUGAUACAAUGCAGCCACUGGACGAAGGUUUCGGUGCAAUUGUGCAGUCAUGCAGGCGACUGAGGCGCCUAUCACUCUCAGGGCAGUUGACUG
This 297-nucleotide long non-coding RNA is filed under the name Phaseolus vulgaris (common bean). RNAcentral's name for it is "long non-coding RNA (PVUL_LNC004951)". Lineage: Eukaryota; Viridiplantae; Streptophyta; Magnoliopsida; Fabales; Fabaceae. The record is from RNAcentral.